RNAcentral lists this ribosomal RNA (887 nucleotides) under uncultured Candidatus Saccharibacteria bacterium. RNAcentral describes it as "bacterial SSU rRNA". It matches the Rfam family "Bacterial small subunit ribosomal RNA", at positions 571 to 1482 of the family's 1533-position model. The record is from RNAcentral. Lineage: Bacteria; Candidatus Saccharimonadota.
GUAGGCGGCAAGUUAAGUGGGUAGUGAAAUCGUGUGGCUCAACCAUAUACACAUUACAGAAACUGCUCAGCUAGAGGGCGAGAGAGGUUACUAGAAUUCCUAGUGUAGGAGUGAAAUCCGUAGAUAUUAGGAGGAAUACCGAUGGCGUAGGCAGGUAACUGGCUCGUCCCUGACACUAAGGCACGAAAGCGUGGGGAGCAAACGGGAUUAGAUACCCCGGUAGUCCACGCUGUAAACGAUGGAUGCUAGCUGUAAGAGGUAUCGACCCCUCUUGUAGCGAAGCUAACGCGUUAAGCAUCCCGCCUGUGGAGUACGGUCGCAAGACUAAAACAUAAAGGAAUUGACGGGGACCCGCACAAGCGGUGGAGCGUGUUGUUUAAUUCGAUGGUAAACGAAGAACCUUACCCAGGUUUGACAUCCUUGGAAUUUUGCCGAAAGGCGAGAGUGCUUUAUUGAGCCAAGUGACAGGUGCUGCAUGGCCGUCGUCAGCUCGUGUCGUGAGAUGUUUGGUUAAGUCCAUCAACGAGCGCAACCCUUAUAGUCUGUUGUAUUUUUCAGGCUAGACUGCCCCGGUAACGGGGAGGAAGGAGGGGAUGAUGUCAGGUCAGUAUUACCCUUACAUCUGGGGCUACAAACACGCUACAAUGGCCGGUACAAAGGGCAGCCAAGUCGCGAGACGGAGCAAAUCCCAUCAAAGCCGGUCCCAGUUCAGAUUGCAGGCUGAAACUCGCCUGCAUGAAGUCGGAAUCGCUAGUAACGGUAGGUCAGCUAUACUACCGUGAAUACGUUCCCGGGUCUUGUACACACCGCCCGUCAAACCAUGAAAGUCACCAAUACCUGACGUGUUGCCUUCGCGCAGCCCUAAGGUAGGGGGGAUGAUUGGGGUU